RNAcentral lists this non-coding RNA (83 nucleotides) under Porphyridium aerugineum. The record is from RNAcentral. Lineage: Eukaryota; Rhodophyta; Bangiophyceae; Porphyridiales; Porphyridiaceae.
AUCUAGCAAUACACACCCACAAAGCAUCCAUGAUGAACUCGCAACAAGAACAACAGUUGGAACAUAAACUCAACAUCAAGCUA